Molecule: long non-coding RNA, 1074 nt
Organism: Poeciliopsis prolifica (blackstripe livebearer)
Lineage: Eukaryota; Metazoa; Chordata; Actinopteri; Cyprinodontiformes; Poeciliidae
Exons: 3
Source: RefSeq, a predicted model, not a curated record
GAAGUCAGAGGAUUUCCUAAUGGCUGCUGCCCCACAACUCCUCUCUCUUUCCUAAAACUGCAGUGAGUGAUGGCCCUGAGGGAGAACCGUCACCAUUAACUGCAUCUUUCGACGCUACCGCUUCUGUUUUUACAGAGAUGAAAUAAAGAGCCAAAGCAGAUGCUGACUGCAAAGUGACACCGCAUGAAACUCAACUAGAAGUUUGUUAGCAAACACCACGAAACAAACAUCUUUGUGAAGACUAUGGCACACAACAAACACAACAAAGAGGAAGUUGUGGAGAAGACGGAGGAUCCAACGUCUGUCACCCUGAAGGAGAAGAAUUAUUGAUGGCACUUUGGCUCAUGGCUCCAUCCAGUCAGAUGACUAUCUGCUGAUGCUGACAGAGUUACUGUGACAUAACAGAGAGGAAAAGUGACAGCAAAAACUUACACCACCCUGGAAGCUUCAACAAUUUCAGCAAAAUCUUUAUCCUUAUUGAUCCAAACAUUGACAUUGACAGUAACAAAGACUAGAGUUUUAUGCUCCACUCAUAAAAUACAAAAGUAUUUUAUGAACUUCCAUAAAAUACCUCAUCUUGGAACUUUCAUCUUCCAAGAAGAUCCCAUUAUCUUAUCCCUUACCCCAUUGGGGUUGGGAGGGGCGCUGGUACCUAGAGGCAGGGUACAGCCUGGACAGGUUGCCAGUCCGUCAUAGUAGCGGCAUCACCCCACACGCGUGUUUUUACAGGUACGAAGAAGUUAGACUGGACCACAUUUCAGCUGAAACUUGGUGGCAUGCUACUUGUCAAAUCAGGGCUCUGACAGUAAAGAAACAUUUUCAGAGGAAAAAGUCAUAUAGUUAAAACCUUCUGCUGAAGAGCAAUGAAGCGCUGCUAACCAAGUAGUUCUGGUCUGGUUUCUAGGACAGAAGCAACAUACAAGUAACUUUUCAGCAAGGUGUAGGAGCUUGUUUUAAGUCAAUAAUUCCUUAAUAUUCACAUAUUGUUUCACUUAGAACAUGUAAAAACAUGUCUUGGUAAUGAUCCACAGGAACUGAGGUUAUUUUUUUUUUAAUUCUGAUGAAUGACUUUAA